AGGACGAACGCUGGCGGCGUGCUUAACACAUGCAAGUCGAGCGGUAAGGCCCUUCGGGGUACACGAGCGGCGAACGGGUGAGUAACACGUGGGCAACCUGCCCCGUACUCUGGGAUAAGCCCGGGAAACUGGGUCUAAUACCGGAUAUGACCAUGUCCCGCAUGGGGUGUGGUGGAAAGUUCCGGCGGUACGGGAUGGGCCCGCGGCCUAUCAGCUUGUUGGUGGGGUAGUGGCCUACCAAGGCGACGACGGGUAGCCGGCCUGAGAGGGCGACCGGCCACACUGGGACUGAGACACGGCCCAGACUCCUACGGGAGGCAGCAGUGGGGAAUAUUGCGCAAUGGGCGAAAGCCUGACGCAGCGACGCCGCGUGAGGGAUGACGGCCUUCGGGUUGUAAACCUCUUUCAGCAGGGACGAAGCGUGAGUGACGGUACCUGCAGAAGAAGCACCGGCUAACUACGUGCCAGCAGCCGC
RNAcentral lists this ribosomal RNA (475 nucleotides) under uncultured bacterium. RNAcentral describes it as "SSU rRNA". It matches the Rfam family "Bacterial small subunit ribosomal RNA", at positions 26 to 518 of the family's 1533-position model. The record is from RNAcentral.